This 849-nucleotide ribosomal RNA is filed under the name Triticum aestivum (bread wheat). RNAcentral describes it as "partial small subunit ribosomal RNA". The record is from RNAcentral. Lineage: Eukaryota; Viridiplantae; Streptophyta; Magnoliopsida; Poales; Poaceae.
AUGAACCAAACGCUUCAGCACCACACAAGCCUGGCCAGGCAGAAAUAUUUUACAUCUCACGUCCACACCAGGCAGUACCGGCCAUCAAGGCAUGAGGAAAAUAGAUCAAGGGCGCCCCUCUGGCUUUACCUCGUCGCGCUCUUCCUCCUCAUCGCGCUCCUCCUUGUCUUCACCGUCUCCGCCUUCGUUGUCACCAACCGCGGCGCCGGCUCCAUCGUCUCUGGGCGCGGGUACAGGGAGUACCGCCUCGGGGAGUACUCCACCUGGCUGCAGCGCCGGGUCAAGAGCGCCAGCAACUGGGCCAAGAUCCGCAGAUGCCUCCGCGACGGCGGCGUCUGCCAGAGGUUCGGCGCCAGGGGGGAGUCACUGCAGCAGUUCGUCACCAACAACCUCUCCCCGAUUCAGUUUGAAUUAUUGGAGGAUGACCAUGAUGAAACUAUGAUGCAAUAUGGUAGUGAUGAUGAAGAUCACACUGCGAGCCUCUCUGCUCUCCCUCGCUCCGAUCUGGUGGAGCCACCGCCCCCAACCUCUCUCUCCGACUUCGAUCCGCCGCCGCCUCCAACCGCUCUCACCCCACUCUUCUUCCCUUCCUCCUCGGGCAGCCCAGUCAUCGUCGCGACCGAGGACCAGAGACGCGGACCGUCGUUGGUGCCUGCGCUUGGGAGAAUUGAGGGCUGGCUCACGCCAACGCGGCGCCGUGGCGAGAUCCGGCCGGGCGCCACGUCGCUGGACCCCUCCUGGCGCGGCAGAUCUGGCCAGCGUAGGGUAGGUGUCGGCCCACCGCCGAUCCGCCCCGGCGCCUCCGCGGCCAGGCGGCAGCGAGCAGAUCUGGGUCGGGUCCCCGCCUAG